Molecule: non-coding RNA, 4689 nt
Organism: Oncorhynchus mykiss (rainbow trout)
Lineage: Eukaryota; Metazoa; Chordata; Actinopteri; Salmoniformes; Salmonidae
Source: RefSeq, a predicted model, not a curated record
UAAACGUCCGCUGUGUAGCUUAUUGACUUGAUUUGCCUAACGUUAGUGGUGGUUGUCAACUCCGUCUGUAGCCAUGAUAUAACGUUUUCGAAUGAUACCGUGCCUUGUUAUAAAUAGAUAGAAUAUAUACCGAAAUAGCGAUGCAACACCAGAGCAGUAGCAUAGGCUGUCCAGACUGUCUCCGGGAUUGGUUUUAGGUGUGCGUCUGCAGCGUUUCGGAGAGAGGUGAGACGUUGGCGGUUUCAGAGACGCGGGCAACCCCGUAUGUCCUUUGACCUUGUCCUUUGUAUCUUUUAGAGGGGACAUAUUGAUAUACUGUCAAAAUGUCAACAAAAAACAACAAUCUAAACGUGUUGGAUGACAGAGACUAAUGGAGUAGGGAGACAGUUGAGAGCUCUGGGACUGGCAGGGACACCUCAUGGCUUCACACCCUCUUCUAUCCCUCUUCUGCAUGUAUGGUGAAGGUCAGGUUUGGCAAGUUAACGGUACAAGGGUGAUGGAGUUCUCAUUUUUUAAACUUCGACUUGAUUUGAUUAAAACAAACUUUAAUGGAUAAAAAAAAUGUAAAGAAGUAAAAGUAAAAAAAAUCAAAUAAAAUAGAGGGAUUGAUAGAGGAUAUUAACCUGGUUCAAGGGGAAGUGUUGGGUAGAGGAUAUUAACCUGGUUUAAAGGGAAGUGUUGGGUAGAGGAUAUUAACCUGGUUCAAGGGGAAGGGUUGGGUAGAGGAUAUUAACCUGGUUUAAAGGGAAGGGUUGGGUAGAGGAUAUUAACCUGGUUUAAAGGGAAGGGUUGGGUAGAGGAUAUUAACCUGGUUUAAAGGGAAGGGUUGGGUAGAGGAUAUUAACCUGGUUCAAGGGGAAGGGUUGGGUAGAGGAUAUUAACCUGGUUUAGGUUUAAAGGGAAGGGUUGGGUAGAGGAUAUUAACCUGGUUUAGGUUUAAAGGGAAUGGUUGGGUAGAGGAUAUUAACCUGGUUUAGGUUUAAAGGGAAGGGUUGUGUAGAGGAUAUUAACCUGGUUUAGGUUUAAAGGGAAGGGUUGUGUAGAGGAUAUUAACCUGGUUUAGGUUUAAAGGGAAGGGUUGGGUAGAGGAUAUUAACCUGGUUUAAAGGGAAGGGUUGGGUAGAGGAUAUUAACCUGGUUUAGGUUUAAAGGGAAGGGUUGGGUAGAAGAUACCAACUGCCAACCCGGUUCAUGGUAAGGGUCCUUGAUUAAAAUGAGAAAGUAGGGGAUGGAAACUUAUUCUUCAGGAUACUGGAAGGGGAGUGGUGGUUUGUGAUUUUUGAGUGGUGGGAUGAAUGUUUGUGGUUAUCGUUGAUUUUGUUUGGGAGACAGUCAAGAUGGACAGUAGCUUUUUAUAUGGGGGACACAGGUAGAUCUCCGAUCUGGAUUGAUCAAUACUGCCAUGUCAUCAAUGAGAAUUAAACUUAGUGAAUGUGUAUGCUAUAGGUUAUGUGAGCACGAGCACCUGUAUAGGUCAAGUAGAGUAGAUCAUUGGAGGGACUUAUUGGCAUAAUAUGACUGUUAGGACUGUAUCCCCACUGCCCUUAAAACAGCAUCCCAGUAAGCGUUUUGAUGUCUUUUGGACAUCUCUUUUUGGUCCUCAGUCUUUAAUUAAAAAAAAAAAUGUUUUAUUUCAUCCCCCAGGGAUGUUGAAUUUUGGUCCGGACCAAAUCUGAACCAAUCAUAGACAUCUAUGUUUCACAGGUUUGGACAGCAGUGUACAGUAACUUAGUACAGAAAAGUAAAGUAUAGUGUACUCUACUGUACUGUACUGAAUUAAACUAUACUGUACUGAAUUAAACUAUACUCUACUGAAUUAAACUAUACUCUACUGUACUCUACUGAAUUAAACUAUACUGUACUGUACUCUACUGAAAUAAAAUGUAUUGUACUGAAUUAAACUAUACUUUACUGUAGUGUACUCUAAUGUACUCAAUUACUCUACUGUACUCUACUGUAAUUAAACUCUACUGUAUUGUGCUCGACUGAAUAAAACUACUGUACUCUACUGUGCUAAACUGUGCCGUACUGUACUGUGAUGUUCAAACUUGUGAAACAGCCUAGACGUCUAUGAUUCGUUCAGAUUUGGAUCUGGUUUGCACCGGCCAAAUUUUUACUUGUUUGGGGGCGGAGCUCAUUAGAAUAAUAUCCAGCAUGCUUUGCAAGUGUUUUUGUUUUUACAUUUACAUUUUGGUCAUUCAGCAGACGCUCUUAUCCAGAGGAACUUACUGCAUGUGAUAGAUAAAUAUUUGGUUGCGAUCUACAAUUGGUUCCUCUUUCCUAUUAAAACCUGUCUAAGCCAGAGGGUGGGGGUUCUACUAAGGAUCAUUUAGCUGUUUGAAUUUUGAAUUUUAAGACCCCUUGAAGAAUAAAAAAAAACAGAAGAAAAACAUGAUUGGAUGAAUUUUUGGGGACCUUACUGCUAUUAGCAUAUUCAAAUGCCUCGAAUAAUAGAUUCACUACAUGGAACAACAGAUCUAAAGGAAGUUUGUUCUGAAGUGUCUGUCCAAUAUCUGAGAGAAAUAUGAAAGAUCAGGAUUUUUUUACAUGUUUUUAACCCCUUAUUUUUGUCACUAAACAGUCUCCAUACCUCCGUUCAUUUUUUCAACUGGUACCAUGGGACCUUCAGACAAGUCUUGUGUUAACUGUAAUAUAAUGCUUACUUAUUAUAAUUGAGAAUGUAUAUCAGUUGAAAUUUGGCCAUGGAAUUAAUGAUCGAAAAAUAAGUAUUUUCAAAUGCCCCUGAUUUCAACGUCCAGAAAAUUGGUUAUUUUCAAUGUCCGGAAGAUUCAUAUUUUCAUCACCUAAAAUGUACCUGAUGUCAAUGUCUGAAAAAUAGUUGUGAAAUAUGUAUUUUCAAUGGCCUUUUGCUUAUUGGGAUAUGGUUGUCCUCUUAAAUGUGAGUUUGAUAAGUUUAUAGAAGUUAGCAUCCUUCCUCUUGACCUGAUUUAUGUUGAUUUAUGCGUUACCUGUCCACCCAUGCAGUGGCAGACUGUAACCAGCAGGUGGAGACAAAGUUCAGGAAUUCUGAUGGAAUUAGAAUUGUCACCUUUUUUUCCCUACUUUUUCAAACUGUUUUACCUGCAGGCUGCAUGCUCGGUUGGAAAUAACACGGCACUAACACUAGCUCAUUAUUAUUAUUAUGUUGGGUGCUGUGGGUAGUAAUGGUCAGGACUGAGUGUUGCCCUGGUGCCAGUCAGUGUGACUGGGAUGAGUGAGUUAGUGUUGGGUGUCCUCCUGCAUUAUCUUGGAUCAGGGUUAGUUUUCACUUGGGGAACUUCCUGCUAUCUGUUUACACAGUGGUGAUGGCAGGGAGCCCACUCAUGUUACUACUAGAGACCAGGUGGAGAGAAGGGGGAGGUAGAGAGCGAGAUGAGAGAGGGGAAGACUAGAGUGAGAGAGAGAACAAUAGAGAAAGGAAGUCAAGAGGCAGAGAAUCCUAGAGCAGGUCCAGAGAUGAGAGGGAGCAGCCGCAGCCCAGAUGACAUCUCCAUACCAGGGUUUGUUCCUGGUACCCGAGAGGUUGGAUGGAAACCUGUGGAAUUACAGCCUAGAGCAGCAGACUUUAAGCAGGGGAUUGGCUGUAAAGCUGCUGUGUGCCUUUCGGCUGUUCUGUCAGCUGUGACUGUGUGAUGUGGUGUCCAGGACUAGAGCCUGGGACCGCGGCCAAGUCUGACUUCUGACUGGCCAUUGGCCCAGAGUGGCAGGUGGAACAGGGGCUGUAGCCAGUAGCCAGACAGGUGACAGGAGAGAGGCCAGGAACAUCAGAACACUCCAUGGAGCAGAGUUGAGUCAUAGCAGAGUCAUUCGAGUAACUUGGGCAAUGCAAUCAUAUUUAAUUAAGUUCUACAUAAAUUAUUUACUAUACAUUGCCUAUAUUUUUUAGCAAGAACAUUGUGAACAAAUGAACAGCAUAUGUAGUUAGCCCCCUCCCUAUAGUUACAGUAUAGAUACAAUCUUCUGUUUUAGAUUCUGUUGAAACAUUCUCUGACUUAUUCUGAUGGUUCAGUUCAUUGGGUGUGAUUACUGUCUGAAAUAUGAAGGGUUGAGAAUAUAGAAACAUCAAGCACGUGUGAUGUUUUGAGGUUUGAGUCGGGCACCUCCUCGGCUACCUCGGCUAGACUCGUUCAUGAGGACCCGUCGUCUGUUUUAUGCGGAGGAUCUCAAGCACCUCUUUAGGGAGUUUCAUGGAAGAGAAUCAAGUGUCUCACUACAGUGUGUGUGUGUGUGGUGACUACACCCCUAUUCAUUUAAUUAUAAUAUUUUAUUGGGUAGGAGUGCUGAGCUGCCACCUCUCUGGCAUCCGUCAGAAGGUACCCAGGAUGCACCCUGUCCCCAUCCCUCUCUCUGUCUGCCUUGGAAUAUAUUGAUGUCUCUGGUUUGAUCUCCAAACAUUUUGGUUGGCCCUGCAUUCCAGGCUCUCUAUGACCUCCACUGUGAUGAGAAACAGACGGACGGUCAACUAGAAGACUGGAUUUAAGUCUAUUAUGUAAAACGCCUGAUGCCUCUGAAAGUAGUGUAGCUAAUGUUGUAGUGUCAGACACUAGCUUUGAGUCUCUGAGAAUGUAAAGUCCAAAUCUCUGAGUAAACCACGACUUAAACAUGUUUCCAUGUACCAUCUGCCGUAGUAGAAUGGCCCCUUUAUUUCAAUGAACUUGUUGACCUCAGUUCUUUGAUCUAGUCGACAGA